GAGUGGCAAAAAGUUUCACUUUCACCUUUAUGUCAUCUUUAUAGCACAGUAAUAUUUCAAGUAGUUUCUUUUCACAAGUUUGGAGUGUCCAAACAAUAUCAUAUAAUAUCUCAUAUCACUUGUAUUUUAGUUACAACCAUCUUUCCAAAUAGGUUUACGUUUGUAAUACUUUGUGAAUGUAUAUUUAGAAAGACUUAGAAAUGUUAUAAUAUAUGAUCAGACUCAACUCUAAGACAACUUUUACAUUAGUAGCUUUUUGGUUACUGUUUUAUUGAUUUUUUGUUUUUUAUUUUUUCCCUCUCUUUUAAAUUUUAAUUACAUUUAUGCUUGCCUUUCAGAUUUCUGAAGUGGUUAAUAGUAUGAAAGACUUGAUUGAUUACAAUCGAGAAACAGGGACAGGACCUAUGGAGAGUUUGAACAAGUUCCCUCGAAGGACUAGUACGCCAUCUGGGGUUCAUAGUCAAGCACAACAAUCUGAAGAACAGCUACAACAACAGCAACAACAUCAUC
Long non-coding RNA from Humulus lupulus (European hop), 510 nucleotides. RefSeq lists it as uncharacterized. Lineage: Eukaryota; Viridiplantae; Streptophyta; Magnoliopsida; Rosales; Cannabaceae. The transcript has 2 exons. The record is from RefSeq and is a predicted model, not a curated record.